AAGGCGAAAGCUGAGUUGGAGAUUACAGAUCAAAGCCAUCACUGGAAGUGUAAAAAUCUGUAUAACUUUCCAGAAGUUUAUCAUUUCAAUAUAUAUAUGAGCAUGUCUAGAUAUGCAACAAUAUGCAUGAGAAGACAUACAUAAACAAAAUAUACACACCUGUACGUAAACAG
Octopus sinensis (East Asian common octopus) is the source of this 173-nucleotide long non-coding RNA. RefSeq lists it as uncharacterized. The record is from RefSeq and is a predicted model, not a curated record. The transcript has 3 exons. Lineage: Eukaryota; Metazoa; Mollusca; Cephalopoda; Octopoda; Octopodidae.